GAAGCCCCCCGGAAGGGGGGUGGAGGCCCGCACCGGUACUGAUGUGCAAAUCGUUCGGAUGACCUGGGUAUAGGGGCGAAAGACCAAUCUAGGCCGGCAAUAGCUGGUUCCUCUCGAAACUGCUCGUAGGCAGACCUCCGUGGAGACGGGGCGUGCGGUAGAGCACUGAUUGCGUGUUUAGGGAGCGAGAGUUCUCGGCAUGCUGUCAAACUCCGAAUGUGCGUCCGUCGCAGAAGCGGGGCAGUGAGGGCACUGGGGUAAGCUUAGUGUCCGCGAGGAGAACAAUCCAGACCGAAGUUAAGGUCCCAAAGUAACCGCUAAGUGUUAAAGAACAAAUGGUGUCUGGCGGCAGAGACAGCUGGGAGGUUGGCUUAGAAGCAGCCAUCCUUUAAAGAGUUCGUAACAGAUCACCAGUCGAGUUUCUGGGCCCAGAAAAUGGACGGGACUAAGCGGUUCACCGAUACUUCGGGCCACCGAAAGGUGAUGCGGUAGAGAGGCGUCGUGCGCGGGUGGAAGUGGGGCCGUGAGGUCCUGUGGACCGCGUUCGAAUGAUAAUCAUGGAAAUAGUAGUAGCGUAGAUGGGUGAGAAUCCCAUCCGCCGGAGGGGCUAGGGUUCCUCGACGAUGUUCAUCAGUCGAGGGUUAGUCGGUCCUAAGGUUCCCCCUAACAGGAGGAAUCGAAAGGGAAGCAGGUUAAAAUUCCUGCACCAAUUCACAUUUUGUCCAUUUCCUGACACAUCGGGUCCAGUGGAGCACUCUUGUCUGAGUGUUGCCUUCAGCAAUAAAUUUGUGGAGUACCGUAAUGGUGAGAAACAAACUAAGCUGUUGGGAGGCGAAGUAUUUCGCUUCUGCUCUAGCCUGGUGUCCGUGAAAAGGGAGCUGGAGCCGUACUGACUGUCCGUACCGAGAUCUGACACAGGUGCCCCUAGGUGAGUAGCCUAAGGCGUCGCGGCAGAAUCCGGGCGAGGGAAUUCGGCAAAUUAGCCCCGUACCUUUGGUAUAAGGGGUGCCAGCUCUGUAGAGAGCUGGUCGCAGUGACUAGGGAGCUCCGACUGUUUACUAAAAACACAGGUGGCUGCUAGUCCGUAAGGAUGUGUAUAGCCGCUGAAUCCUGCCCAGUGGCGGUAUCUGAAACCCGGUUUCACCCGGACGAAGGACCGCUAAACGGCGGGGGUAACUAUGACCCUCUUAAGGUAGCGUAAUACCUUGUCGCUUAAUUGGCGACUUGCACGAAUGGCCUAACGAGAGCUCUACUGUCCCUGCCUUGAGCCCGAUGAAAUUGACGUACUGGCGCACAGUCCAGUACGUCCCAGCCGCAAGCGAAGACCCCGUGGAGCUUUACUGCAGCCUGUCGUUGUGGUACGAGUUGUAAUGUGCAGGGUAGACGGGAGCCAUCGAAACCUGGGCGCCAGCUCAGGUGGAGGCAACGAUGAAACACCGUCCUUUACGAUUCGUCCCGCUAAACCCCUUCGGGGGGACACCGAUAGGUGGGCAGUUUGGGUGGGGCGCCACUCCCUCGAAAAAAUAACAAGGGAGCUCAAAGGUCAGCUUAGGUAGGUCAGAAAUCUACCGUAAAGUGCAAGGGCAAAAGCUGGCUUGACGUGGUUUGGCAUCACAACAAACCACGAUGCGAAAGCAGGACCUAGCGAACCAACCAGCCCCGUUAGUAGGGGCGGUUGAUAACAGAAAAGUUACCCCGGGGAUAACUGAGUUGUCUGGAGCAAGAGCCCAUAUCGACCUCCAGGCUUGCUACUUCGAUGUCGUCUCUCUCUAUCCUGGGUGUGCAGAAGCACCCAAGGGUGGGGUUGUUCGCCCAUUAAAAGGGAUCGUGAGAUGGGUUUAGUCCGUCGUGAGACAGGAUUGUUGCUAUGUGCUGGGACCGUUUUGUGCCUGAAGGGAAGGGCCCCUUAGUACGAGAGGAACGGGGGCUCGCAGCCACUAGUUUACCAGUUGUCCGACAGGGCAUUGCUGGGCAGCCACGCUGUAAGGGAUAAGAGCUGAAAGCAUCUAAGCUCGAAACCCGCCUCGAGACGAGGCACUUUGACGCCCGUAGAAGACGGGACGAUAGGACCGGGGUGUACGCACCGAGAAUUAUAGUGGCGCCAGAAACCGCUUCGGCGGCGGAAGGUACCACUUCGAGG
This 2140-nucleotide ribosomal RNA is filed under the name marine metagenome. RNAcentral's name for it is "bacterial LSU rRNA". It matches the Rfam family "Archaeal large subunit ribosomal RNA", at positions 823 to 2946 of the family's 2987-position model. The record is from RNAcentral.